Molecule: ribosomal RNA, 699 nt
Filed under: Triticum aestivum (bread wheat)
Lineage: Eukaryota; Viridiplantae; Streptophyta; Magnoliopsida; Poales; Poaceae
Description: partial small subunit ribosomal RNA
Source: RNAcentral
AUGGACGCUGCCGAUGGUUUGUCCACAAGUAAGAGCAACAUGGAUCCGUCACCAAGUCCACGCAGGCGUUCUUGGACCCCGAAACGAGUCAAGGGAGCUUCGUCGCUUCUGCAACUGUUGUCUAUUCCUCGCAUUAGGUGGUCUUCCAGCAACAAGGAUGACGACAAGAUUGAAUUGACAAGAGCUGAAGUAGAAUCAUUACGAAGCGAAAUUGCCGAUGCCGAUGAAAGGGAGUCCCAGCUAAAAGCCCGGUUAGAAAAUAUUGACGAAGUCUUGAGAUAUGCAUUCCUUUCCAGGUACCUCCAUAUCAGAAGUAGAUGGACUCAACUUCCUGGGGAGCCACCUAUCAUAGACGACGCCGAUGUCGAUGACUGGCUUCCUCGCUUUGUUGUCCUACAAGCAGUGUUUAUACUACUAUCUGAAGUCUACAGACCUGAGCCCGCAGGAAUCGCUGCUGCUGCGCGACGUGGAACCCACGUCCUACCCCGACGAUGGCGGUCGACCACAACCUCCCUCUCAGGGGCUUACACCGUUGCGGUUCCUCAGGACUCGGAAGGAGGAGCGUGGGCCGUAGAGACGGAAGAGGAGGCUGAGACAGCCGCGGUGCCUGCUGCAGCGACCAUGGCCACUACAUCGAAAAGAAAGACAACAAAAUGUAUUAGGCCCCCUUGUGCUGGAUUGGGCUCAACCCAAUUAUAA